RNAcentral lists this ribosomal RNA (441 nucleotides) under uncultured bacterium. Its description in RNAcentral is "partial 16S ribosomal RNA". It matches the Rfam family "Bacterial small subunit ribosomal RNA", at positions 338 to 795 of the family's 1533-position model. The record is from RNAcentral.
CCUAGGGAGGCAGCAGUGGGGAAUAUUUGGCAAUUGGCGCAAGCCUGACCCAGCAAUGCCGCGUGAAGUAAGAAGGCUUUCGGGUUGUAAACUUCUUGGACUGGGGAAGAGCAGAAGACGGUACCCUGAAAACAAGCCACGGCUAACUACGUGCCAGCAGCCGCGGUAAUACGUAGGUGGCAAGCGUUGUCCGGAUUGACUGGGUGGAAAGGGCGUGUAGCCGGGAAGGCAAGUCAGAUGUGAAAUCUGGAGGCUCAACCUCCAAAUUGCAUUUGAAACUGUUUUUCUUGAGUACUGGAGAGGCAGACGGAAUUCCUUGUGUAGCGGUGAAAGGCGUAGAUAUAAGGAGGAACACCAGUGGCGAAGGCGGUCUGCUGGACAGCAACUGACGGUGAGGCGCGAAAGCGUGGGGAGCAAACAGGAUUAGAUACCCUGGUAGUC